UGGGAGCCCCACCACUAAGCCAGUGGUGAACUCCACAUACGCAUCCUUUGCUGAGGAUACGGUUAACGGAGCGAAAGCGACGUUCAACCGUAAAAGAAGCAGAGGGGGCUUAGUGGUGGGGUGACUGCGUACCUUUUGUAUAAUGGGUCAGCGACUUAUAUUCUGUAGCAAGGUUAACCGAAUAGGGGAGCCGGAGGGAAACCGAGUCUUAAUUGGGCGUUAAGUUGCAGGGUAUAGACCCGAAACCCGGUGAUCUAGCCAUGGGCAGGUUGAAGGUUGGGUAACACUAACUGGAGGACCGAACCGACUAAUGUUGAAAAAUUAGCGGAUGACCUGUGGCUGGGGGUGAAAGGCCAAUCAAACCGGGAGAUAGCUGGUUCUCCCCGAAAGCUAUUUAGGUAGCGCCUCGUGAAUUCAUCUCCGGGGGUAGAGCACUGUUUCGGCUAGGGGGCCAUCCCGGCUUACCAACCCGAUGCAAACUGCGAAUACCGGAGAAUGUUAUCACGGGAGACACACGGCGGGUGCUAACGUCCGUCGUGAAGAGGGAAACAACCCAGACCGCCAGCUAAGGUCCCAAAGUCAUGGUUAAGUGGGAAACGAUGUGGGAAGGCCCAGACAGCCAGGAUGUUGGCUUAGAAGCAGCCAUCAUUUAAAGAAAGCGUAAUAGCUCACUGGUCGAGUCGGCCUGCGCGGAAGAUGUAACGGGGCUAAACCAUG
This 717-nucleotide ribosomal RNA is filed under the name Salmonella enterica subsp. enterica serovar Lattenkamp. Its description in RNAcentral is "partial 23S ribosomal RNA". It matches the Rfam family "Bacterial large subunit ribosomal RNA", at positions 1 to 1191 of the family's 2925-position model. Lineage: Bacteria; Pseudomonadati; Pseudomonadota; Gammaproteobacteria; Enterobacterales; Enterobacteriaceae. The record is from RNAcentral.